AGCGAACGCUGGCGGCAGGCUUAACACAUGCAAGUCGAACGGUCCUUCGGGAUAGUGGCGGACGGGUGAGUAACACGUGGGAACGUACCCUUAGGUUCGGAACAACACAGGGAAACUUGUGCUAAUACCGGAUAAGCCCUUCGGGGGAAAGAUUUAUCGCCUUUGGAGCGGCCCGCGUCUGAUUAGCUUGUUGGUGAGGUAAUGGCUCACCAAGGCUACGAUCAGUAGCUGGGCUGAGAGGAUGGCCAGCCACACUGGGACUGAGACACGGCCCAGACUCCUACGGGAGGCAGCAGUGGGGAAUCUUGCGAAAUGGGCGAAAGCCUGACGCAGCCAUGCCGCGUGGAUGAUGAAGGUCUUAUGAUUGUAAAAUCCUUUCACCGGGGACGAUAAUGACGGUACCCGGAGAAGAAGCCCCGGCUAACUUCGUGCCAGCAGCCGCCGUAA
This 447-nucleotide ribosomal RNA is filed under the name uncultured bacterium. Its description in RNAcentral is "partial 16S ribosomal RNA". It matches the Rfam family "Bacterial small subunit ribosomal RNA", at positions 29 to 523 of the family's 1533-position model. The record is from RNAcentral.